Molecule: long non-coding RNA, 3252 nt
Filed under: Pomacea canaliculata
Lineage: Eukaryota; Metazoa; Mollusca; Gastropoda; Architaenioglossa; Ampullariidae
Description: uncharacterized LOC112576763, transcript variant X4
Source: RNAcentral
AGCAAGAGACUUGUUUAGUGAGGAAAGGAUUUCAACGACAGCCACAGUGUGUGUGUUUUCAAUGAUUGUGUGUGUGAUAUAGUGAUUGUGUGAUGUGUGUAUGUGUGUGUUUUUUAAAUGUGUGUGUGUGUGUUUUAAUGAUUGUGUGUGUGUGUGUGACUAUCCUCACUGUGGAGCUCAAGGAGGCACUCACUCACAGUUCACAUGCACUCACAUCAGUCGUGCUCGCGUGUGCACAGCUUUUGUCUCACAUCCGGACUGAAACGAAACUGAAGCAAACGCCACACGAUGGUACUCGAACUCUCAGAUAAAACUUGAAAAUGCAUGCUCGUGGAUAAGAGAUAAGAUAAAAAUAAAGCAGUUCAACUGUUCCCUUGUACGAGGAAGAACAAUGCCUAUGGGACGCUUGACAAAUAAAUUAAAAGAUCAAAUACUAGGUACACAAUAUAAAUUGUUUCGAUAAUAAACAGCUAACAUAAAUAAACCAAUUAAAACGCACUGACCAACAGAGGUUGCUUUGUACUAAUUCAAAAACGGACUCAAUCAGAACGCACAAAACAUUUCUUACAAUCAUAUCAAACAAAUCAUGAUAAAUGUUGAUAGCGAUGUACUAUUCUUCUGGCAUGUCAUCGCAGCGGACAUUGUCCUUGUCUUGGAUUCUAUCCACAAAGCAUCCUUGAUUGUUUAUGUUGUUCCAUAAUUUCCUCGGCAAUACAUUUUUCUCGCUCGCAGUUUCAAACUAAAAAUCUCCCUUUAGCCUCACAAAAGUUUUCUUGCCUGUUUCCUUAAAUGCUGCUAGUCGUCUGUUUGCGUGUUAUGGCAGGAGAUCAAAUUUUAAAUAAAAUAAAAUAAAAUAAAAAUAAGUUUUCUCUCCAUCAACACUCUACUAGACAGCUACAUCGCCAUCUGCCCUCGGUCUUUACCAGCGACUGGCUGCAGGCCCACCACUUCACAACUACGGCUCGUCGAUGACUAUUAUGGAUGUGAAGUGUGAAGUGCCGACGUACAUCCGGGAAUACACAAGUAUGAAUGAAGAACAAUCAGAGCUAACAGAUGAUAGGAGCAAGGACAUCAAACUGUGAAAACAACACAGGGACAACACAGACAAGACACUCUAGGUUCUACUGCAGAAUGCAUCAUUCAAGACGACGAAAGAAUAAUAAGAAAUGAAUAAAUGUGUACUGAUAACACUCAGCAUCACGAUCGCACUCUCUGCGCUGACCAGUCAUGAUAAAUGAAAGAUAUAAGACAGUGGAGGUGCGCUAAGUUCAGCUCAUCCCAAAACAGUCGUAGGACAGCUCUGAUGGAGAACAGCCGUGGUGAACAGCAGCUGGAUCGGUCUUCCACCCGACUGAGAAGGUCCUUCAGUUCACUUCCAUUAUGGCAACGCCUAAAAAAAGAGAGAGAGAGAGAGAGAGAGAGCCACCCAAUCCAGCGGCGAUCCAGCUCUGAACGCCUUGUAAAAAACUUCAUGAGUUGAAAGUACUAAAGCAACAUAAUACAGUGAUUGUGGAGACUUGAAGACAAGACUUGCUUCUGUCGUCUAAAAUUUUCUUCCCGUGUGCUGGGGAGUUGCACGGAGGGGUGGAACGGUUUGGGAGAGUAAAAUUGUUUUCAUUCAACUUCAGAUUACAGCGGUUUGCGUAUGAACUACACACUACUACUCAUGUCAACCGUGAGCUUCACUUAAUAAUUGUAAAGGUUUUUAACACAUAAUAAGUUUGUAGUAUUGAUAUAGUGACUUCUUUCUUUGUGUCUGCAUGAUAUAUUUUAUAUAGGUAGAUGAUAUAUGCUAGGAAAAUUAUGUUUCCUCUCUUUCCUUUCUUUAUGUGUGUGUGAGAGAGAGAGAGAGAGAGAGAGACAGAGACAGAGACAGAGACAGAGAGAUUUGGCAGCACAUGGUAGUGAGAUUUUAAAACAGUAGAUACAACAUCCCUAUCAGACCUGUGCCCAAUGUCCCCCAAUCAAGGAUUUGUUUCUAUAAAAAAGAAUGUUCAUUGUGCACUAACUGUGUGGACUGUAUACCUUGCACCACCUGUCACACGUGUUAUUUUGAAAUCAAUGUCUGCUGCUGCACCUUUCUCACUUUCCUCCGAGGGUGGUAGUGAUGUGGAAGCUGAUGCUGUAAGAGGUUUACUAAUGGCAUUCAUGCUUGAAUGGUUUCACUGACUAUAGUAUGAAUGGUGUCAUGUUGGGAUCUGGCUGACUGAACGCCGGUCAUGGUGUGAAACCCUGACAUAAAAUGUCGACUAAACACCUAGUAUAUUGCAUAUCGCUUUCAAGCACAAUUUUCUUAUUUUGAGCUUGUUUGUGUUUACCCGCUGGAAAAGCAGAUAAUGCAAGAACUAAAGUUUCUCAUACCUCCCUUUUACUUAUCGUUGCUAUAAUAGAUAAGACAGCAGUGAUGUUUUCAACCCAUCUCUAUGCAUCCUUACAUCUCAGUAAAAGUCUCAGUGACUAACAGCCAAGACCCUAGCUUCCACUUUGACCGCCGACGAGUUGUUUUCAUUUUGUUUGUCAUUUUGAAGAAUUGCUUGAUGUUACAUGUAUCUUUGUUAGUGUUUUUAUCUCACCCGCAAGCCACUGUACAGUGGGCGCGUGACAAUCAUACAGUUAAUUAAUAUCUUUCACUAAGUUAAAAACAACGAAUAACAACGUACAUGUGCAAAAGGAAUGUUCGAUCAUGUGUCAAGGUGGGAAUGACUAUGUAAGACUCCAAUCCUAAAUGACUAAGGAAGAAUAUUAAUCAGGGCUUCUGCUAAGGCUAAAUUCUUUGGGGUCCCAGGGACCCCUUCUUCAGAUUUUUAAGGGGUCCCUGUUUUUCGCCCAAAUUUGAAGGGGACCCCAUUGACGAAAAUUGAAGGGGUCCUCUGAACUUUUAAUGCGUACUGUACGCAAUUUUUUGCGUAAGCAGAAGCCCUGAUAAUGUUCUAUAUUUUUAUCUUAGUAUUUUUUUUAGACAGAAACAUGCAAAUUAGUUUUCAAAUUAUAAGGAAUAAUCCAAAUUAAUACAAAUUUCAGUGUUUCUUUGGCAGUACUAAAAUGUUUUCACCAACUUAAUUAAAUUUAUAGAUUAAUAAUUAUUGUCCACCUCGCAGCGAAUAGGGUUAGUAAGAAUUUAGAGCAUAUCUACGUAGUAAACAUUUAAUUACUUAUUUACUUAUCUGUAUUUCUUUUCUGUGUAUUUGAUGCAUUGUUCUACAGAUAUUCUGUACAUUUCUUUAUUGUGUAAUACAUUAUUGUUUACAUACA